Dromaius novaehollandiae (emu) is the source of this 2888-nucleotide long non-coding RNA. RefSeq lists it as uncharacterized. The record is from RefSeq and is a predicted model, not a curated record. The transcript is spliced from 2 exons. NCBI's taxonomy places the organism in Eukaryota, Metazoa, Chordata, Aves, Casuariiformes, Dromaiidae.
AGAGGCACUUUCAGAAGGGAAGGACACUCGCUUCAGAAAGGACCAAAGACCUGAAUUGCAAUAAAAUUAAGAUGUAUUUUUUUCUGGGUGUCUACAGACUUAAAAUCAGGUCCUGCAGUCCUAACUCAGUGCUUCCCAGCAGGAAACUGCUGUUGAGAUCCAGCUGACCCUUGACCACAGCUCAAGACCCCCAGACUGUUAGAAGAUCUUUUAUCUCCAAGGAUUGACCUGAGUCAUCUGACUGCAAUGGACCUAAUGAGUGACCUUAAUAGCUGCAAGUUUCAAGAGCUCAGCUGGAGAACACUGCCUAUUAGUGAAUUAAAAAAACACAUUUGUAACUACUUUAAGAAAAUGUUUUGAUCAAAUAUAUCUCAAUUUUAUUCUGUAUUUGGGAUCUCAUACAACUGCUCUAUGUGGUUAUUUUUUGUUAAUUAAAAGUAUGGUCCAGUUUGCUUUCAAAGAUAAGUGUCUGAUUUAUAGCCAGUAAAUGGUAUUUUUAACACACCACAUCGCAUACGGUUCAAUAUCUAAACAUGACAUACAGAGUUUAGAGUGAAGUUCUAUGCCUUGCUUCUUAAAGGUUUACUUGUGUUCAAUCUUUACUUUAGCGUAACCUGAAUCCUCUUCUUGAUUUAAUAUGUGAUAUAAUGUAUGAUCCCAUGUGCAGUUACACAGGUAUAGUACUUUUCCCUUGUGCCCUGAGGAUUGUGAGUCUCUCAGAAAGCUUGAGACUGCUUAUCGGGAGACAUAAUAGGGAAUCUAAUCCCGGAGAUAAAAAUGAUGUGGAGUGUGGAUAUGGAGGAGGGAAGAGGUGCUGCAGAAUCCAUUUAAUUGCUUGAAUGACACUGUAUGCUCUUCAAUUUAUUAAAUUUAUCUACUUUGCAUGGCCAGUUUACAUGACUGGAUAAACAUCUUGUUUUGCUGUUUUGAUGGCAUCAUAAAAGGGGAGGGACUUUGAAAAAAAUCUUAAAGACUGCAGUAGUGUUGUACUGAUAUUUUCAAUUUCUUUCCCAUUCAAGUAAAAACCAUGAAGAGCCACAGUGUGGCAUGGAUUUAUAUGCAGCACACCCAGUUGAUUUCAACAGGGAGUGCUUUGAACAAUCAAUGGUGUGACACGCCACAAAGAGAGAGAUUAAAAUUUUUCCUACUAUAAAACAACAAAAUACAUUAACUAUGACAAAUUACAAAUUGGUCUUUAACAUUCAUUUAGGUAUUUGUGUGGAUUGCAGCACAUACUACUUGGAAGUCAAAUAAAAAUCAAACCAGUGAAAACAGACCCCAUUUCUUACUUUGCAAAAGCAAAACGAUACAUAAAAGACAGGCAGUAGGAGAACAGGAUGAAAACAAAGGUAGUAAAGCCACCCGAAGAUUUCAAAAAAGCCUAAAGUAGGUAAAAGCAUCACUAAUAGAUUAAGCAAGUGAAUGUAAAGUUGGAGUUAUAUGUAAAUAUUGCAAACAAAAAAAUUUCACAGUGAGCUUUACAAAGUUAUAUAUGUUUACUGUUAGUUAUGACACAAACACUAGAUAUUCAUUUUAAUGAGAAAAUGUUGAAGGGGGACAUUUGAGAUGCUAUAUACCUUCUGACAGAUACCAGCUUCAAAAUAUUCUCUUGGAUAGUCACCAGAAGAUCAAAGAUAAGCCUUCAGUGUAUUUCCUGUUAUACUGCAGAAGCACAAUUAUUAUGAACUUGGAAACAAAUCUCAAAACAUAAAUAUUCAAAGCUAUGAACACUGAAUACCUCCAAUGGGGAUUGAUGUAGUGUACCAGAAUGUUUAGCUUCACAAGCAAAAUAAAAUUAAAAUUACUACAGUUAAUAAUUAUACAUAGCUAAAAUGCUUACUCCACCCUCUCCUUUUUUUCUGAUUUUAGGGCUUAAGAAAGUGCUGAAUUAUUUUAGCUUGUCCCAACAUAGGGCAUCCAGCAAAUAAUCUUGCUUCCUAAAACUAAUUUCAUUAAUUUUUUUCAAAUCUAAGUCAGAUACAUUACACCAAAUUCACUUACAGCCCCUUGUCUCAAUGAUGAACUUUCCCCAGUGAACACUUUGAGGGGUUCUCAAUAUCUGUUACAUUUAUGGUCUGUCUGCUGAGGCAUACAAAAAGGUGGCUAGUUACUGCUAUGCUGAUACGUUUAGUGAUAGUGUAACCGGUGCACUUGGAAACUGUUUGAUAGCAACUCCCUAACUUUGCUAUUCACCAUUUUUGAUUCAGUGAAACAAAACAUUCAGACACUUCAAAGACUAGAAAGAUGAUUUUUUAUCUUGAAAAAUAUAAUUGCUGAUUUCAACUGUGGUGUUGAGAAUAAUUUUUUGAUGUACUUUUUAAAAUGCUUCCACUUCAUCAGCUUAUUUGAGAAAAUAAAGUAUUGGGUUCUAUUUUCAAGAAAAGCAACAGAACUAAAGACAAAAUACUGCUGUCUACACAGAAAUAUUUUUCAGUUUGUAGGCAACUGAAGUUCUAAAAAUAAUGUUCUGUAUAUUCUGUUAUGGCAACUAAAUACAUAUGUUUUUAAAGGAAAUAACACAAGUUUGUACUUGGACACAAAGCAGAAAUGUUGAGGACCUAAAUAAAACAUAGAAUCAUUUAUGCAAAAUUUUUAUAAUUUUUUAUAAUUAUUUUGUAUUAGUCUUACCUCUCAAUUUUUUUGGAUAAAUGUACAACCUUCCUGGGGAGUACACUGCUAUGAUCACUUGAUGUUAUGACCUCUUUUCAAUUCCCAGUUUUUACUAGCAAUUAAGUGAGCUUGCCAAAAGUGCUGUCCAUGGACAGUUGCCAUAUUUUGAUUUCACAAUAUCAGGAAAAAGAUGGAUUCAGGAGGCACUCUAAACUCAUCUCUGAUGGUCAAUGCUUUGCUGAGAAAAGGACCACCAGUGUUACUCAUAAAUUAAUGAU